This 497-nucleotide ribosomal RNA is filed under the name uncultured bacterium. RNAcentral describes it as "partial 16S ribosomal RNA". It matches the Rfam family "Bacterial small subunit ribosomal RNA", at positions 28 to 507 of the family's 1533-position model. The record is from RNAcentral.
GAUGAACGCUGGCGGCGUGCCUAAUACAUGCAAGUCGAGCGAACGGACGGGAAGCUUGCUUCUCUGAUGUUAGCGGCGGACGGGGGAGUAACACGUGGAUAACCUCCCUAUAAGACUGGGAUAACUUCGGGAAACCGGAGCUAAUACCGGAUAAUAUUUUGAACCGCAUGGUUAAAAAGUGAAAGACGGGCUUGCUGUAACUUAUAGAUGGAUCCGCGCUGCAUUAGCUAGUUGGUAAGGUAACGGCUUACCAAGGCAACGAUGCAUAGCCGACCUGAGAGGGUGAUCGGCCACACUGGAACUGAGACACGGUCCAGACUCCUACGGGAGGCAGCAGUAGGGAAUCUUCCGCAAUGGGCGAAAGCCUGACGGAGCAACGCCGCGUGAGUGAUGAAGGUCUUCGGAUCGUAAAACUCUGUUAUUAGGGAAGAACAUAUGUGUAAGUAACUGUGCACAUCUUGACGGUACCUAAUCAGAAAGCCACGGCUAACUACGUG